Molecule: RNA transcript, 3530 nt
Organism: Prunus dulcis (almond)
Lineage: Eukaryota; Viridiplantae; Streptophyta; Magnoliopsida; Rosales; Rosaceae
Gene name: RNA polymerase II C-terminal domain phosphatase-like 2
Exons: 16
Source: RefSeq, a predicted model, not a curated record
GAGAGAGAGAGAGAGAAGAGAGAGCGAAGAGGUCUGAGAGUGAGAAGAGGAGGAGCAGAAAAUAGAGAGCAAAACUGGAGAAAUACUCCACAAUUUUUCACAAAAAACCACCUGAUUUCGUCAACAUUUACGAAUUGGCCCCAAACUUUUCCCGCUUUCGCUCUCAAAUUGAUCUAAAUGAGCCGUUUAGGGUUUAAGUCCGUGGUCUUCCACGGCGACCUGUGUUUGGGAGAACUGGAUGCUAUUCCGGUGAAGGACCAGAAGUUCCAGUUCCCAAACAAUGAGAUUCGAAUCAACCGCAUAUCGCAACAAAGCGAACGAUGUCCUCCUCUCUCAAUUCUCCAAACGAUUUCGUCAUUUUCGGUUCGAUGCAAGCUCGAAUCGACCUCCCCUGUUGAACAGCCCCAUUUGAUCAAUCUUCACGCCUGCUGCUUCUACGAGUUCAAGACUGCGGUUGUAGUGGUUGGUGGUGAAGAGAUUCACUUGGUGGCAAUGCCGAGUAAGCAGAAGAAGUUUCCAUGCUUUUGGUGCUAUGCGGUUCCUGUAGGUCUGUACAGUGCUUCACUACGAAUGCUGAAUCUAAGGUGUCUCUCAAUUGUGUUUGAUCUCGACGAGACGCUGAUUGUUGCCAACACCAUGAAGUCUUUUGAUGAUAGAAUUGAGGCCUUACGAAGCUGGAUUGCACGCGAGAGUGACAUGGUGAGAAUAGCUGGAAUGUCUGCUGAAAUGAAGCGGUACAUGGACGAUCGGUGGCUGUUGAAGCAGUACAUAGAUAAUGAUUGUGUGGUGGAUAAUGGAAAGGUGUACAAGGUUCAACAGGAGGAUGUUCCUCCGCUGUCUGAUAACCACGAGAAAAUUGUUCGGCCUAUCAUUAGAUUGCCAGAUAAGAACAUUGUGCUCACUCGCAUCAAUCCCGAGAUUCGUGAUACCAGCGUGCUUGUGAGGUUACGACCUGCGUGGGAAGAUUUGAGAAGUUAUUUAACUGCAAAAGGACGCAAGCGGUUUGAAGUUUAUGUCUGUACCAUGGCUGAAAGGGAUUAUGCCUUAGAAAUGUGGAGGCUUCUUGAUCCAGAGUCACACCUAAUAGGUUCAAAGCAACUUCUGGACCGUGUUGUUUGUGUCAAAACAGGCUCCAGGAAAUCUUUACUCAAUGUCUUUCAACAUGGAGUGUGCCAUCCAAAGAUGGCAAUGGUAAUUGAUGACCGUUCAAAGGUUUGGGAAGAUAAUGAUCAAUCUCGAGUUCAUGUAGUUCCAGCAUUCACUCCUUAUUAUGCUCCUCAAGCAGAGACAGCAAGUCCCGUUCCCGUCCUCUGUGUUGCAAGAAAUGUUGCAUGCAAUGUCAGAGGUUGUUUUUUCAAAGAGUUUGAUGAGAUUUUACUGCGAAGAAUUUCUGAAGUUUUUUAUGAAGAUGAGGUGGUAAAUUUACCUCCUGCUCCUGAUGUGAGCAAUUACUUGAUGUCUGAGGAUGCUGGUUUGGCAACCAAUGGAAAUGUUAAUGCUCCUGUUAGUGAAGGAAUGAAUGGCGGUGAAGUUGCAAGGAGAAUAAACCAAUCUGAUGACAAGUUUGGUACAGACUCAGUGGCUCAUUCUCUGAAAAAUCAUGCUGAGGCAAGAUCUGACAACUCUCCGGCACCUGUUGCAAUUCUUCCCAAUGUCGUUGGUGCAGCAUCUUCGAGGCCAGUCAUGCCUUCUCAGAAACCUGGUUUGCUCGGACCUCCUGUUAGACGAGACAGCUUUUCUGAUCGUGACUAUGAAAUGAAGAGAGGACUCCUUGGUACAAAUCCUGGUCUAGAUAUGAGAAAUCAAACCUCUGCUGAACUCCCGCAUCUAUCUAGGAUACCUGCACAAAUGCCAGCAUCAUCAAUACAUGCACAAGGGGGAUGGUUGGUGGAUGACGAUAACAAUAGAGGACCUCCGAGUAAUCGACCUUCUGGGUUUGUUCAGCCGCCUGACAUCAUAAAGUCUGAAAAGCUAGUUCACCAGAAUCCUUUUAGUCCUGCUACACCAAGUUCUACUCCCAGUGGUCCGAGUAAUCGACCUUCUGGGUUUGUUCAACCGCCUGACAUCAUAAAAUCUGAAAAGCUAGUUCACCAGAAUCCUUUUAGUCCUGCUACACCAAGUUCUACUCCCAGUGGUUUGCUCUCACACAAAUCUGAUGUGAAAAGGGAAGAGGUAUGCUCUGGACAAGAUUUACAAAAACAAAAUCUUCCUCCUCCAAGUCAGCUAUCAGAGGCUGGUGCAUCCCAGAAUCAGGCAUCUUCUUUUAAUAGAGAAUCUCAAUUAGAAUCUGCAAAAGUGAACCUCCUGCCGUCCCCUUUAUCUAUUGGAGUGCUGCAGGAAAUUGGACGAAGAUGCAGCUCAAAGGUUGAGUUCAGGUCUGUUGUAAGCACCAGUAAUGAUUUGCAGUUCUCUGUUGAGGUUCUCUUCACUGGAGAGAAGAUUGGUUUUGGAAUGGGUAGGACGAGGAAGGACGCUCAACAACAGGCUGCUGAGAAUGCUCUUCACAGCUUGGCUGAUAAAUAUGUAGCGUAUCUCGCACCUCGUUCUGGAGCUGUGGACAGAGAUAUUGAUAAAGUCUCGGUCGGGAAUGAAAAUGGAUUUGUAUUGGACAUCGUCGGUCCUGAAUUGACUGAGCUGCUAAGGGAAGAUGGAAUGCCUAAAGAAAGCACUUCUGAGGUGGGGAUUUUUGAUCAUGCUUUCAGUAGUUGAUUUGAUUUUCUAUGUUCAAAAACAUAGGUGAUGCUUGGAUAAAGGGUAUGUGGGCAAGACAUUUCCAGAUGUGGGGCAGUGGUUUUUUACAAGGAAAACCACUCCUAUUUUUGAAUUUUGCAUCUCACGAAGAUGUGAUGGCUAAAACACUGAAAGCGGAGUGAGCUGGCUUCAUGUGUGCUACUGCUGCCUUAGAGGCUCCAUUAAUUCCUGUUUUGAAAGGCUGCUGAAGUUGAACCUGGAAGUACUUAUAUUACGGUGAGUCAGCAAGUUCAAAAGCGUGCAAGUUCUCCAAGAUUGCUACAGUCUCUUCCAAAUAAACGAUUAAAGGAAGAAAUAUUGCAUGGCUCACAAAGUUUAUCAUCUUCACGGCCGCAGAAGAAUGUACCUUCAGACAAACCUUGACACUAAAGUUAUAUUAAUCAAGGCUUCCACUAGUGCAUUCUUCCCCCUCCAUUGAGAAAUGAAACGAUGGUCUCGGCGAGGUCCUGUGGCUCCAUCUCUACCCAGCAUCCAGAUUUUGUAACUAGUCAGUAGUUUUGGGAAACCAAAGGAACGAAAAAGGAAAAGGAGAUGGGUCGGCAUUUACGGCAAUGGAUAUUACCAAGGUGAAUAUGUGUAAUUUUGUCUGUGGAAAGGUGGGCUAUUUUUUUGACAUCUUGCCCCAUCUUUUCUCGCUUACAGAAUGGAAAACUGAGGUUGGAGAUGUUUAUAUCUCUGAUUCAUCAGGUCAUCUUGGCUUUCACAUGAAUAUAUAGUUAUAUGCUUUUUAACCCUUUGAAACUUUAGCGUAAAUUAGAAUGAAUACAAGGGUUUCUGCA